UCAACCAGCCUCUGUUGCAACAGUUUCAGGAGUUCUACCAUCGUCAUGAUACUUUCAGUCUUGGUGUCUGUAACGGUUGUCAGCUCAUGGCACUCCUCGGCUGGGUACCUGGAGGUGAUGUUGGAGGAGCGCUCGGUGCUGGUGGGGAUGUAUCGCAACCAAGGUUUGUUCACAAUGAGUCUGGCCGGUUUGAGUGUCGCUUCACAAGUGUUCGGAUUCAGGAUUCUCCAGCGAUAAUGUUCAAAGGAAUGGAGGGUAGUACGUUGGGUGUGUG
Molecule: unclassified non-coding RNA, 274 nt
Filed under: Hevea brasiliensis (rubber tree)
Lineage: Eukaryota; Viridiplantae; Streptophyta; Magnoliopsida; Malpighiales; Euphorbiaceae
Source: RNAcentral